This 253-nucleotide ribosomal RNA is filed under the name uncultured bacterium. RNAcentral's name for it is "partial 16S ribosomal RNA". It matches the Rfam family "Bacterial small subunit ribosomal RNA", at positions 524 to 776 of the family's 1533-position model. The record is from RNAcentral.
UACGUAGGGGGCUAGCGUUGCUCGGAAUGACUGGGCGUAAAGGGCGCGUAGGCGGCUCAUACAGUCAGAUGUGAAAUUCCUGGGCUUAACCUGGGGGCUGCAUUUGAUACGUGUGGGCUUGAGUGCGGAAGAGGGUCGUGGAAUUCCCAGUGUAGAGGUGAAAUUCGUAGAUAUUCGCAAGAACACCAGUGGCGAAGGCGGCUCACUGGCCCGGUACUGACGCUGAGGUGCGAAAGCGUGGGGAGCAAACAGG